UCGAUGCCUCGUAAUCAUGGUGAAGGAGCGACGACCCCUCGAUCUAUUCGCGACGCGAACGCCGCCGCCUGGCAGAUCCCAGGCGCUAGCCGUGGAUCCCUUUGCCGGCUCCGAGGGGUCGUGGAGGCGCCGCCGCCGAGGUCCUAAAGGAGGUGCCGCCGCCAUCGUUGUGGACCUCCGGGUCGCCACCGGGACACCUCUGCUGAGGUACGCCUUCGCCUUCGCACGCCGCCUACCUCUCCUAUCGCGAUCCCCUCGAUCCCCAUUUGCCGCCAUCGUACGCACCUCGAUCCCCUCGAACGCCCGCGCACAGCCGCCCUCUCCCGUCUCCCCCACACAUAGCUGCUCUCUUCCCCGCCAGUGCUGCCCUCUUCCCCGCCCUCAAGCGGGGAUGCCCCAGAUCGAGUCUCGCAAGUCAGCGGGGCAGCGGCCAGAUCUGCCUCGGCCACAUCUCGUCCAGAUGGAUGGCUCUAGGAGAGGUAGAUCAAGGGGACAGGUACCGUGUGGGUCUUCUCUUUCGGGACGCCGCUCCGACCCGAUCCGGUGAGGAGGCAACCUCUGUGUGCGGCAACGAGGGCGGCGGCCGGCUGCGUGAGAGGUCGAUCUGGUCGUGCCUCAUUGAUGGGAUCGGGAUGCCCACCGCCGACGGCGCUGCCUUGCUACCAAAGGGGCACCCUGCCGCGGCCAGGGACUCGCUACCGUCGAAGCACGACACCUCACCGCCACGUAUGUUGCGUGUUGUUGUGCUGCAGGUCCUUGGGGUUGGGUGCGGCAACUCGCGACUCGAAGAUGAUCUUUUCUGGUAGGGCGUCGCCGGCGGCGGCGGCACCUGCAUAGACCGUCUCGGUGCAACAGAAGAGUUCGGAGUUCACUCCCCGAGAGAACAGCUCUGCAUGUACAUUUGUUGAAAGACUGAUCUGCUGAACUUUCGAUGAUUUCGAUUUGUCUCUGACAUAACCUUUCCUCUUUUCGUUGAUACGUCCGAAAGAGAUCCUUAUUUCACCUUUUGUUUAUAGGUAUUCAACGUGAGGAAUUUCAUACUUUUGGAGUGGAGGAGUAAAUUGCACAAAAGUACCACAAUUGGGGCAUUGGAAACAGAUUGGUACCAAGUUUCGUAAUUUUUACAUGUCAGUACCAAGUCUGGGACUAGACGGUACAAAAAGGUCUAAAUCGCGUAUAAACGCGUAUUGACAGUGUAUCUGACCGGCAGGGCCCGCCUGUCAGCUACUGACGUGGCAUUUUUUUGCAGAAACCCCCCGCACGGUGGCGCCCGGUCUGGAUCGAGGGGAGGAUCCCUCGAGCCCGAGCUCCCACUCGCAUCACCGCGGCCCCCGCUUGCGCCGGAGCUGCCCCUGCUCGCACCGCCGCGGCAUCUGCUCAUGCCGUCGUGGCCUCUACUCGCGCCUUCCCUCUCCGCCGCGGCCUCUCCUCGCGUCGUGGCCUCUCCCCCCUCCGCGGCGGCGCCCGAUCUGGAUCGAGGGGAGGAGCCCCUCGAGCCCGUGCUCCUUCGCCUCCCGUAACCCCCGCCCCGCCCUGGCCUCCNN
Molecule: long non-coding RNA, 1544 nt
Filed under: Triticum aestivum (bread wheat)
Lineage: Eukaryota; Viridiplantae; Streptophyta; Magnoliopsida; Poales; Poaceae
Description: long non-coding RNA (TAES_LNC018248)
Source: RNAcentral